UACGUAGGGUGCAAGCGUUAAUCGGAAUUAUUGGGCGUAAAGAGCUCGUAGGCGGUUUGUCGCGUCUGGUGUGAAAACUCAAGGCUCAACCUUGAGCUUGCAUCGGGUACGGGCAGACUAGAGUGCGGUAGGGGAGACUGGAAUUCCUGGUGUAGCGGUGGAAUGCGCAGAUAUCAGGAGGAACACCGAUGGCGAAGGCAGGUCUCUGGGCCGCAACUGACGCUGAGGAGCGAAAGCAUGGGGAGCGAACAGG
RNAcentral lists this unclassified non-coding RNA (253 nucleotides) under uncultured Micrococcales bacterium. RNAcentral's name for it is "contains 16S-23S intergenic spacer region". It matches the Rfam family "Bacterial small subunit ribosomal RNA", at positions 524 to 776 of the family's 1533-position model. The record is from RNAcentral. Lineage: Bacteria; Bacillati; Actinomycetota; Actinomycetes; Micrococcales.